AGAGUUUGAUCAUGGCUCAGAAUCAACGCUGGCGGCGUGCCUAACACAUGCAAGUCGAACGCGAAAGUCCCGCAAGGGAUGAGUAGAGUGACAAACGGGUGAGUAACGCGUGGGUGACCUGCCUUCGAGUGGGGGAUAACGUCCCGAAAGGGACGCUAAUACCGCAUAACAUCCUUCCUUUGAACAGGAGGAGAUCAAAGCCGGGGAUCGCAAGACCUGGCGCUUGAUGAGGGGCCCGCGCCUGAUUAGCUAGUUGGUGGGGUAACGGCUCACCAAGGCGACGAUCAGUAUCCGGCCUGAGAGGGCGGACGGACACACUGGGACUGAGACACGGCCCAGACUCCUACGGGAGGCAGCAGUGGGGAAUUGUUCGCAAUGGGCGCAAGCCUGACGACGCAACGCCGCGUGGAGGAUGAAGGUCUUCGGAUUGUAAACUCCUGUUGCUCGGGACGAAUAGCUCCGACCGAAUACGUCGGAGUCUGACGGUACCGAGUGAGAGCC
Molecule: ribosomal RNA, 501 nt
Filed under: uncultured Acidobacteriaceae bacterium
Lineage: Bacteria; Pseudomonadati; Acidobacteriota; Terriglobia; Terriglobales; Acidobacteriaceae
Description: bacterial SSU rRNA
Rfam family: Bacterial small subunit ribosomal RNA
Source: RNAcentral